AGUGGAACCAGAUAGCAAACAAAGCCGUGAAUCAGAGAAAUAAAACAUGUUUUCGCUGAUUCAUAACUAGAAGUGUAACUGUAGCCAACAUCUUAAUAUCAGUAACGUUAUCAACAUUCAUAUUUAGAUGAAACAAAUUAUAUAUCCAGCUAUAAAAAAGCUUAAAAGUCGGAAGUUAGAACGGAAGAACAAAAAGGCGUUCUUAUGGAGAUGAUCCACCCUCUCGUCUCAUUGGUGUUAACUGGCAGGUUUCAGAACGCUGCAGACCGGCUCG
Long non-coding RNA from Sander lucioperca (pikeperch), 274 nucleotides. RefSeq lists it as uncharacterized. The record is from RefSeq and is a predicted model, not a curated record. NCBI's taxonomy places the organism in Eukaryota, Metazoa, Chordata, Actinopteri, Perciformes, Percidae. The transcript has 3 exons.